AUCGUCUCCAGUCGGUAGGUGUGAGUGAUGCUGUGGGAUCGUCUCCAGUCAGUAGGUGUGAGUGAUGCUGUGGGAUCGUCUCCAGUCAGUAGGUGUGAGUGAUGCUGUGGGAUCGUCUCCAGUCAGUAGGUGUGAGUGAUGCUGUGGGAUCGUCUCCAGUCAGUAGGUGUGAGUGAUGCUGUGGGAUCGUCUCCAGUCAGUAGGUGUGAGUGAUGCUGUGGGAUCGUCUCCAGUCAGUAGGUGUGAGUGAUGCUGUGGGAUCGUCUCCAGUCAGUAGGUGUGAGUGAUGCUGUGGGAUCGUCUCCAGUCAGUAGGUGUGAGUGAUGCUGUGGGAUCGUCUCCAGUCGGUAGGUGUGAGUGAUGCUGUGGGAUCGUCUCCAGUCGGUAGGUGUGAGUGAUGCUGUGGGAUCGUCUCCAGUCAGUAGGUGUGAGUGAUGCUGUGGGAUCGUCUCCAGUCAGUAGGUGUGAGUGAUGCUGUGGGAUCGUCUCCAGUCAGUAGGUGUGAGUGAUGCUGUGGGAUCGUCUCCAGUCAGUAGGUGUGAGUGAUGCUGUGGGAUCGUCUCCAGUCAGUAGGUGUGAGUGAUGCUGUGGGAUCGUCUCCAUUCAGUAGGUGUGUGUUGAUGUACAUUAAUAGACGGGUGUAUUAUGUGAUGAUAU
This is a long non-coding RNA of Oncorhynchus keta (chum salmon), 657 nucleotides long. RefSeq lists it as uncharacterized. The transcript has 3 exons. Lineage: Eukaryota; Metazoa; Chordata; Actinopteri; Salmoniformes; Salmonidae. The record is from RefSeq and is a predicted model, not a curated record.